CCUACGGGAGGCAGCAGUGGGGAAUUUUGGACAAUGGGCGAAAGCCUGAUCCAGCAAUGCCGCGUGUGGGAAGAAGGCCUUCGGGUUGUAAACCACUUUUGUACGGAACGAAACGGUCUUUUUUAAUAAAGAGGGCUAAUGACGGUACCGUAAGAAUAAGCACCGGCUAACUACGUGCCAGCAGCCGCGGUAAUACGUAGGGUGCGAGCGUUAAUCGGAAUUACUGGGCGUAAAGCGUGCGCAGGCGGUUAUAUAAGACAGUUGUGAAAUCCCCGGGCUCAACCUGGGAAUUGCAUCUGUGACUGUAUAGCUAGAGUACGGUAGAGGGGGAUGGAAUUCCGCGUGUAGCAGUGAAAUGCGUAGAUAUGCGGAGGAACACCGAUGGCGAAGGCAAUCCCCUGGACCUGUACUGACGCUCAUGCACGAAAGCGUGGGGAGCAAACAGGAUUAGAUACCCUGGUAGUCCACGCCCUAAACGAUGUCAACUGGUUGUUGGGUGCAUUAGUACUCAGUAACGAAGCUAACGCGUGAAGUUGACCGCCUGGGGAGGUAGCGCGAGUAGUAAGUACGUAAUUAGAGUAGUUAGCGUGNGAGNGCGACGACGACGACGAGGAGGAGGAG
This 621-nucleotide ribosomal RNA is filed under the name uncultured bacterium. RNAcentral describes it as "bacterial SSU rRNA". The stretch from base 1 to 542 matches the Rfam family "Bacterial small subunit ribosomal RNA", at positions 338 to 873 of the family's 1533-position model. The record is from RNAcentral.